UAUGCUGACAUGAGUAACGAUAAAACGGGUGAAAAACCCGUUCGCCGUAAACCCAAGGUUUUCCGGGUAAAGGUAAUCUUCCCGGAGUUAGUCGGCCCCUAAGGCGAGGCUGAAAGGCGUAGCUGAUGGGAAACGUGUUAAUAUUCACGUACUUGUGUGUUCGCGCGAUGAAGGGACGCAGGAAGAUAGGCAAGCCGGGCGCUGGUUGUCCCGGUGCAAGCGUGUAGGGAUGAGGAGCUGGCAAAUCCGCUUCUCUCUAUCCUGAGACGCGAGUCCGUGCCCGCAAGGGCUGAAGUUGUCGAGUCUAUGCUGCCUAGAAAAGCUUCUAAGUAUAGGACACGCAAACCGUACCGGAAACCAACUCAGGUGGGUGGGAUGAAUAAUCCAAGGCGCUCGAGAGAACUCUGGCCAAGGAACUCGGCAAAAUAACCCCGUACCUUCGGAAGAAGGGGUGCUUUUUAGGGUGAAGCGAUUCACUCUGUCGAGCCCUGAAAAGCCGCAGAGAAAUGGUGGUGGCGACUGUUUACUAAAAACAUAGGUCUGUGCCAAGUCGUAUAGACGACGUAUACGGACUGACGCCUGCCCGGUGCUGGAAGGUUAAAAGGAGGAGUCAGCGCAAGGGAAGCUCCGAAUUGAAGCCCCAGUAAACGGCGGCCGUAACUAUAACGGUCCUAAGGUAGCGAAAUUCCUUGUCGGGUAAGUUCCGACCUGCACGAAUGGCGUAACGAUCUCCACACUGUCUCGGCCAGAGACUCGGUGAAAUUGAAGUCGCGGUGAAAAUGCCGUGUACCCGCAGAAAGACGGAAAGACCCUGUGCACCUUUACUAUAGCUUGACAUUGGGAUUUGAGCCUGCAUGUGUAGCAUAGGUGGGAGCCUGAGAACCCUGUACGCCAGUAUGGGGGGAGGCAACGUUGAAAUACCACCCUUGUUUGUUCAGGUCCCUAACUCUUCGCCGUUACCCGGUAAGAGGACAGUGUCUGGUGGGUAGUUUGACUGGGGCGGUCGCCUCCCAAAAUGUAACGGAGGCAUGCAAAGGUUCCCUCAGGCUGAUUGGAAACCAGCCGUCGAGUGCAAACGCAGAAGGGAGCUUGACUGCAAGAGAGACAUCUCGAGCAGGUACGAAAGUAGGUGUUAGUGAUCCGGUGAUCCCGAAUGGAAGGGUCAUCGCUCAUUGGAUAAAAGGUACGCCGGGGAUAACAGGCU
RNAcentral lists this ribosomal RNA (1204 nucleotides) under human gut metagenome. RNAcentral's name for it is "bacterial LSU rRNA". It matches the Rfam family "Bacterial large subunit ribosomal RNA", at positions 1293 to 2483 of the family's 2925-position model. The record is from RNAcentral.